GGUUGUACUCCCUGGCCAUAUACCUUGUAUCUUGUGAUUGUUUUAUGAGGAGUUUUACUAACAGUCUGUUUACCUUGUCUUAGGCACCUCAGCCUUGCUCCUUAUUGGAGAUCUCAAGAAAACCUCUGAUCACAGUCUGGACUCUGGAUUCAUUCCAUGCAGCAGGCCGGCCUGGAUACCUAUCUGUCUGGUUAAGCGAACCCUGUCCACCCUCCUACGGUUCCUCCUGGAUCAUCAAGAAGCCCCAAUGGAAUCAGCACUACCUCACUGUCCCAGACUCGCAGCCAUCUCCCCCCUGGCGGAUCGCCCCACCCGAAUAUCAGACAACCUUCCUGGAAACUUCGCUCCUUGUACAUUUCCCAAAUUGUUAAUACAUUCUUUAAACGUU
Long non-coding RNA from Girardinichthys multiradiatus, 388 nucleotides. RefSeq lists it as uncharacterized. The transcript is spliced from 2 exons. The record is from RefSeq and is a predicted model, not a curated record. NCBI's taxonomy places the organism in Eukaryota, Metazoa, Chordata, Actinopteri, Cyprinodontiformes, Goodeidae.